AUGCCACAUACGCCACGCCAGCGCUUGCAGCCCCGCGCCCCGGUUUGGUCAGAGAUGGAGACGCGGAACUUCCUGGCCCUCUGGGGCGAGCUGCUGAUUCUCAGGUGGAUCGAAAACCGGCCCCCCAACAGCGACAUCUACGAGGACCUCUCGGCCCAGAUGAUCGCCAGGGGUCACGAGCGCAACGCCUCGCAGUGUCGCAACCGGGCCCGGGACCUGAAGCGCAGCUACCGGAGAGCCAAGGACGCGCAGGUGUGCGCCGGCGCCGAGCCGGUUUCCUGCCGCUACUUCCGAGAGCUGGACCGGAUGUUUGGCGGAGAAAUGGACGGCGUGGCGAACCGGAGCCUGCCGAGCAUGGACGGGUCUGCCCGGGUGGUGGUGAAAACGGAAGAGGCGGAGGACAUGGAGGCGCAGGUCUCCGAAGAGGAGGGCAACCAGAUGACGCCGCCAAACACGCUCUCGAGCAUGGACGCCGACACGGACACCGAAACGGAACCGAACCUCGGGGUCUCGCGAGAGCUAGUGGCCGGCGACCCGGAUGUGAUUGAAACCAAAAUAGGGGAGGAGUGCCCCAGUGACAAAUCUCUGCCUUUAUACGGGCAACCGGUGGCUGGCCCCAGCGAAGAUGGGCACCAUUCUGUGGCUGGCAGAGGCAGGCGGGACAACUCCCUGGGGCGCCCCCUGACGACAGCAGAGAGGAUGGCGUCCAUGCGGGAGAGGAAGAGGCGGUCCCAUGAAGAAAUGAUGCACGAGAUCAUGACCGACUACCGGCGGACCUGGGAGACGAUGGAGGCGCUUCACGAGAGGGGCGAGAUCAGCGCCGGGGAGUUCCGUGAGGCGAUGCUGAGGGAGAUGCUUCUGGACAGAGAGGCCCGGACCCGCGAGGCCCAGCUAGACCGCGAAGCCAGGGCAAGGGAGGCCCAGCUGGAUAGAGAGGCGAGGGCCAGGGACAGCCAUCUGGAGAGGGAGAUUAGGAUUAAGGAGCUCAACAUGAUUGAGGCGGAGCUUCGGCGCACAAGGGAUAUCCUCCACCCCAUGGUUGACGCUGUGGUGUCCGUCGCGGAGGUCCUGCGUUCGACCAGCAGUAUACAACGGCAGCCUCGCCAGGCACAGCAGAGUGGAGGGGGUAACUUCUUGGAAUUGGAGGGUAGCAAAUAAUUAUCCCCCCCCUUUUGUGAGGGGUGGGCAUUAGUAUAUAUAGUUACCGUGCUGGGCAGAAAGGAGGGGGUAGUAAGGAGGGGGAAAACUGUUGCAACCCUGGAAGCCAAGACCCACUUUUGGGGCAAGUACUCUCCGGUGGGAGAGCCUCAGCAGAGAUUUAACAUGUCAAAACCCUUUCAAAUGAAUUCCAAAAUGUCCCUUCUUAAUAGUUCUCUCCAAAGUAUCUCGCUUCCCUAGCACAAAGAUCAAUCAUACAUUUAGUAAGUUAUAAACUGGUUUACUUACAAAAUUCUUCAAAGGUCAGAUUCAUGUGCUUUUCCAUACAGCAAUAAAAACAAAGUUGCAAAGGCAGUAAACUGUUGCUUGGUUACAAAAUGGCAAAAAGUUCCUAAGUAAUUGCUAUAUAAAAAAACACUAGUUUCAGACUCCAUUCUUGUCUGAAGCAAAAGAGGCUGUUUAAAACCAUACACAGCUGAGCUGGAGCACCCAGCUCAGGCCUCCUCACACAUGGGUGAGAGAAUGGCUCCAUCAGGAAGGUCUAAACACUAAAAACAAGUCAGUUUAUUCUAAUAAUUUAUUAUUUAUGCCCCGCCCAUCUGUCUGGGUUUCCCCAGCCACUCUGGGUUGCUCCCAACAGAAUAUUAAGAACACGGUAAAACAUCAAACAUUAAAAACUUCCCUAAACAGGGCUGCCUUCAGAUGUCUUCUAAAAGACAGAUGGUGAGUGUAUUUCCUUGACAUCUGAUGGGAGGGCGUUCCACGGGGCGGGCGCCACUACCAAGAAGGCCCUCUGCCUGGUUCCGUGUAACCUCGCUUCUUGCAAUGAGGGAACGCCAGAAGGCGCUCGGAGCUGGAUCUCAGUUUCUGGGCAGAACAAUGGGGGUGAAGAUGCUCCUUCAGGUAUACUGGGCUGAGGCCGUUUAGGCCACUUUAAAGGUCAGCACCAACACUUUGAAUUGCUCUCUGAAAUGUACUGUGGGAUGUUUCCUCUAGUGUGGUAGCGACAAGCUCAGCCAAAUUUUGCCUCCCUUCCACUACUUGCAUCUGUCCACAAGAUAGAGAAAUCAUGUAAUUUGGUGUGGGUUUUGUUUUUGUUUUUUUAAAAGCCUAGAAAAAGUGUUAACUUGUUGCUCCGAAUCUUCACUUUUCCUACAGCCGAGUUAAAGGCCUGGGGCCUCGUGGUAUCUAUGGGGAUCUCUCUCUCUUGGUUCUGUACCAAGAGCAAAUCACUGGAAUGCAAAAUACAUUCAGGUAUCCCCAAGCUGGACCUUUAUGUGUCUGUGUUAUUUGUCGCUCGUUCCUUUACCAAGUAAUGGGGAUGGACCUAGAGGGAAGAAGUCUUGCUUUCCAGCCUUGAUUGUCUGCUUCUCAGAGGCAAAAGACACUGUUGCAGUAUUCCUUUUAUAGGGGCAGGGUCUGUCUCUCUCCCCCCAUCCACCCCACAUGUCAACUGUGGCUUUCCUCAGACUAAUAAUGAUGUUUGAAUGUGUGGGUUGGUGUGAUACUGUACAGCUGUGAGAAAUGGGGUGGUCUGAAAGUUGUGCCAUUGUGCCCUGAAGCUGCCAGAGCAGGGGUAGCUUUCCUGUGGCCGCCCAGAUGUUGUAGGACUCCCAAAUCCCAUCAGCCCCAGCGAGCAUAACCAGUGAUCAGAGGUGUAGUUCGGCAACAUCUGGAGACCUACAGGUGAUAUCCUUAAAAGCUCAUUUACAGUGGUACCUUGGUUCCCAAACUUAAUCCAUUCCGGAAGUCCGUUCCAAAACCAAAGCGUUCCAAAACCAAGGCGCGCUUUCCCAUAGAGAGUAAUGCAAAAUGGAUUCAUCUGUUCCAGCCUUUUAAAAACAACCCCUAAAACAGCAAAUUAACAUGAAUGUUACUAUCUAACAAGACUGUUGAUCCAUAAAAUGAAAGCAAUAAACAAUGUACAGUGGUACCUCAGGUUAAGUACUUAAUUCGUUCUGGAGGUCCAUUCUUAACCUCAAACUGUUCUUAACCUGAGGUACCACUUUAGGUAAUGGGGCCUCCCACUGCCGCUGCACAAUUUCUGUUCUCAUCCUGAAGCAAAGUUCUUAACCCGAGGUACUAUUUCUGGGUUAGCGGAGUCUGUAACCUGAAGCGUAUGUAACCUGAAGCGUAUGUAACCCGAGGUACCACUGUACUGCAGUCACACAAUCAAUCAGUAGCAGAACAGGGUUCCAAACAGUCACAAAAACAAAACAAAAAAGAGCCAUGAAAACAAAAACACAAAAUAAAUAGCAAAAACAGACAGACCUCAGCGCAGCACUCGAAACGGAAGCGUGGCACUCAAAAUGGAGCAUGUUCAGCUUCCGAAAAAAGUUCGCAAACCGGAACACUUACUUCCUGGUUUGCAGUGUUUGGGUUCUAAGUUGUUUGAGUACCAAGGCAUUUGAGAACCAAGGUACCACUGUAUUCCCAUUGCACUCCUGCCACAGUAAGUCCCAAUUAUUGCAGUGGGAACAGGGCACAUAUUAUUAACUUGAAAUUGAAGCCCAUGGAGGCUUUGGAAGUAAUGGGUGGAUGGUGCCCUAAGAUAUCUAUCCAUCCCUUAAUGCUAUGGAGAUGGACUUGGCAGUGCACAGUAUUCAUGCCUCAAUAGAUCUCAAGUUGCCACAGGAGGGAUGAUGAGCAGCACUCCUUACGGGUGACCUUGGGAGGCAGUCAGCACCGUGCAUAGAUUUUUGCUCCUCUCUGCAACUAGCUGAAACAGAAUCAGUGGUGCAUAAUAAUAAUAUAUCUUGUGAGUUCAGCUGUGAGCAUGAGACUCAAGAAGGAAGAAGAAGAAGAAAGAAGGUUGAUUUGAAUC
This 3982-nucleotide long non-coding RNA is filed under the name Podarcis muralis (Common wall lizard). Its description in RNAcentral is "lncRNA (ENSPMRG00000009313.1)". The record is from RNAcentral. Lineage: Eukaryota; Metazoa; Chordata; Lepidosauria; Squamata; Lacertidae.